This is a long non-coding RNA of Salmo trutta (river trout), 1497 nucleotides long. Ensembl lists it as uncharacterized. The record is from Ensembl. NCBI's taxonomy places the organism in Eukaryota, Metazoa, Chordata, Actinopteri, Salmoniformes, Salmonidae.
CCGUGUUCGAGAACAUCAAAACCGUAAUGUAUCAUGGGUAAAUGGUGAAUGAGUGAUUGAUCUACAAAUAACAAUGAGUCGUUAUUUAUGACGGACGGUGAUUUGUAGAUCAAUCAUUCGGCAGUCUCCUCCACUGUCGGCUGCAAUGUCGAACAAGCCUAUUGAUGUCAACAAACUCCAUAUGAUCGUGCGACGCAAGCAAGCUUCCUCGACGCAGCGUAAAAUAUUUUGUGAUGAAGGAGGAGCCCAGGGGGCUGCUACCAGAGCAGGUACACCCAGUGAGAGGAGGGAGAGACCAUGGACCUGAGUGAGAGGAGGCCCAACAAGUGGUGGACAGAGUCGGACACCUUCGCCAUGCUGGCCCUCAUCGAGCAGCUGGACCUGGUGCAUGAGCUGGAUAAGAAGCGUCAGCGCAAUGACUCACACUUCCGCCGCCUGCGCUACAGCCUGGCCAAACGGGACAUCCACUUCACUGUCAACCAGAUACGCAACCGCUGGAAGAGCCUCAAGCACAAGUACCGCAAGAUCAAGAUGGCAGGAUACCGUAGCGCCUCUGCACGCCUGGCCACCAUCGAGUCGUUCCGUUACUUUCGUAUGCUGGACCGCAUGCUGGCCAGGAGGGCCCGGGUGGGGGCCCCAGUGCAAGGCAUUGCAGAUGGACACAAUAUGGUGGUGUUGACCCCUUCAGACCUGGAGGAUCAUACUGACGGUGAUGUUGCUCAGCCCGAAUCUGUGGCCCCUUGGCAGGACAGCCUGGCUCCAGCUCUAGAGGGAGAAGGGGACGAGACUAAUGCCAUCCCAAUAGAGGCCAACGUCAGCACUCCGGGCUGGGCCUUGAAGUCAGACGAGAUAAUGACUUUGGGUCUGUCUGGAGAGUAUCUUUACCCAGUGAAGAGUGAGCCACAUUCAGUACCCUCUUUACAUGAUGGUGAGGGAGCUAGGGACCCCACUGGCUGCAGUCCAGAAGAACAAACUGGCACUUGUGAGGACACCAGCACCCUGAUCCUCCAGCAGCUCAACAUCCUGAACCAUCAGCUAGGGGAACAGCUCGCUGAGCAAAGGGCCUUCCACUGCAGCAUGCUGGGUAUGAUGGACCGACAGAUAGAGGUCCUGGAGCAGCUCUCCAACUUCUCCACAGGCCGCCAGGUCAAGACCGAACCCGAUGACAGUAACACUCCUAUCAGCCAGCAGGUCCACAACUCCCUGGUGCGCAUCUUGAGAGGAGUGGAACAGGUCCAAACCCAAGGACACCAGCCGUGCUCAUGCAAGGCCUACCCCUCACAGCCUACAUCUCCCUCCUGGACAGUCUCUCUGUUGGAGGUCCACAAAGAAUCACCCUCCAGGGAUGGGAACUCAACUAGUGACACAUCCGACCCUCAGCCCUCAGACCAUGGGCGUCCUGAACCUCAAGGACCAUCCCCCUCAGAGCAGCUUCCCACUUCCCCACAGAAAGGUGUUUUGCUUAACGGACUCUCAAACAAGUGCCAGCACAACUGA